GUCAGCAGCUAUAUCACCCUGCAACUCACAACUGCCAACCCACUGAUGCUAAGCAGGUGUGAAUCUAGCCAGUACCUAGAUGGGACACCUCCUGGGAAAGCUAAGAUUACUGCUGGAA
This 118-nucleotide ribosomal RNA is filed under the name Lepisosteus oculatus (spotted gar). The record is from RNAcentral. Lineage: Eukaryota; Metazoa; Chordata; Actinopteri; Semionotiformes; Lepisosteidae.